GGUACUAUGUGCCCAACUUCACCCUAUGUCUUUGUUCACUGUUUCUUUGCCGGUUUCGGCCGGCAGAAGAUUUCUCAAACCCAUUAUAAAUCUGCCUCUGAAUUCAAUUAAAAAAUUAAUUAAAACUUUCAACAACGGAUCUCUUGGUUCUGGCAUCGAUGAAGAACGCAGCGAAAUGCGAUAAGUAAUGUGAAUUGCAGAAUUCAGUGAAUCAUCGAAUUUUUGAACGCAUAUUGCGCCCUUUGGUAUUCCGAAGGGCAUGCCUGUUCGAGCGUCAUUACACCCCUCAAGCUUCGGUUUGAUGUUGGGCACCGCCUGUGGAAGGCAUGCCUUAAAGUCAGUGACGGUUACCCUUAACCUCGGGCACACAGAUGUUGCUAUGAUGGGAGAGGGCGGCUUGUCUUCAGAUAAUAUUCAAAAUGUUGACCUCGGAUCAGGUAGGAAUACCCGCUGAACUUAAGCAUAUCAAUAAGCGGAGGAAAAGAAACCAACAGGGAUUGCCUCAGUAACGGCGAGUGAAGCGGCAAAAGCUCAAAUUUGAAAUCUGACCUUUGGUCUGAGUUGUAAUUUGUAGAGGAUGUUUCGGGUAAGAUCCGGGCUUAAGUUCCUUGGAACAGGACGUCAUAGAGGGUGAGAAUCCCGUACGUGGUCCAGGAUCGCACCCAUGUGAAACUCCUUCGACGAGUCGAGUUGUUUGGGAAUGCAGCUCAAAAUGGGUGGUAAAUUUCAUCUAAAGCUAAAUAUUGGCCAGAGACCGAUAGCGCACAAGUAGAGUGAUCGAAAGAUGAAAAGCACUUUGAAAAGAGAGUUAAACAGCAUGUGAAAUUGUUGAAAGGGAAGCGCUUGCAACCAGACUUGUUUGUAGGGUUCAGCCGUCGUCUUCGUCGGUGUAUUUCCCUAUCUUCAGGCCAGCAUCAGUUCGGAUGGAAGGUUAAAGGCCUUGGGAAUGUAACAUCCUCCGGGAUGCCUUAUAGCCCUCGGUGUAAUGCUUCCCACC
Molecule: ribosomal RNA, 997 nt
Filed under: fungal sp.
Lineage: Eukaryota; Fungi
Description: eukaryotic LSU rRNA
Rfam family: Eukaryotic large subunit ribosomal RNA (bases 424-997)
Source: RNAcentral